RNAcentral lists this ribosomal RNA (468 nucleotides) under uncultured bacterium. RNAcentral describes it as "partial 16S ribosomal RNA". It matches the Rfam family "Bacterial small subunit ribosomal RNA", at positions 28 to 507 of the family's 1533-position model. The record is from RNAcentral.
GACGAACGCUGGCGGCGUGCUUAACACAUGCAAGUCGAACGGAAAGGCCCUGCUUUUGUGGGGUGCUCGAGUGGCGAAAGGGUGAGUAACACGUGAGUAACCCGCCCUUGUCUUUGGGAUAACUUCAGGAAACUGGGGCUAAUACCGGAUAGGAGCUCCUGCUGCAUGGUGGGGGUUGGAAAGUUUCGGCGGUUGGGGAUGGAUUCGCGGCUUAUCAGCUUGUUGGUGGGGUAGUGGCUUACCAAGGCUUUGACGGGUAGCCGGCCUGGGAGGUGGACCGGGCACAUGGGGACUGAGGGAGGGCGCAGACGCGUACGGGAGGCAGCGGGGGGGAGUAUGGCAGAAUGGGCGGACGCGUGUGACGGAGGCGCCGCGUGCGGGAGAACGGCUUUCGGGUUGAAAACCGCUUUCGCAUGAGACGAGGCGGGAGUGACGGUAAUGGGUAAAGAAGCACCGGCUAACUACGUG